GAUGAACGCUGGCGGCGUGCCUAAUACAUGCAAGUCGAGCGAACAGACGAGGAGCUUGCUCCUCUGACGUUAGCGGCGGACGGGUGAGUAACACGUGUAUAACCUACCUAUAAGACUGGGAUAACUUCGGGAAACCGGAGCUAAUACCGGAUAACAUGUUGAACCGCAUGGUUCAACAGUGAAAGACGGUCUUGCUGUCACUUAUAGAUGGAUCCGCGCCGCAUUAGCUAGUUGGUAAGGUAACGGCUUACCAAGGCAACGAUGCGUAGCCGACCUGAGAGGGUGAUAGGCCACACGGGAACUGAGACACGGUCCAGACUCCUACGGGAGGCAGCAGUAGGGAAUCGUCCGCAGUGGGGGAAAGCAUGACGGAGCAACGCCGCGUGAGUGAAGAAGGUCCUGGGAUCGUAAAACUCUGUUAUGAGGGAAGAACAAAUGUGUAAGUAACUGUGCACGGCUUGACGGUACCUAAUCAGAAAGCCACGGCUAACUACGUG
This 497-nucleotide ribosomal RNA is filed under the name uncultured bacterium. Its description in RNAcentral is "partial 16S ribosomal RNA". It matches the Rfam family "Bacterial small subunit ribosomal RNA", at positions 28 to 507 of the family's 1533-position model. The record is from RNAcentral.